UUGAAAAAAACACAGCUGCUGACGUAUCCAUGUUUUGACGGAAUCUCAGUGUACAACAAUUUUGCCGACAGAUCACCAGGUACCAUUAGAUCAAACGUAACGGAACGAUAUAUUUCUAAGCGGUCAUGGGGUCUUCAAUAAGAGAAAGGCAGAUCAAUCUGUUAAAGCAAAUGAUCAACUUCAACCAGCCAAUAACCAAAUCCACUAUCAUGGAACCAUCAUGGAAAAUACUGGUGUAUGACAAGUAUGGACAGGAUAUUAUAUCUCCUAUUUUGUCAGUCAAGGAACUACAAGAAUUAGGUGUCACACUCCAUGUCCAACUUCAUUCACCUCGAGAUGCUGUUCCUGAUGUACCUGCCAUUUAUUUCUGUCUACCAACUGAAGAAAACCUAGGGCGAAUCAGCCAAGAUCUACAAAAUCAACUGUAUGAAUCAUAUUACUUCAACUUCAUCUCAUCCAUAUCUCGCCAAAGAUUGGAAGACUUGGCUUCUGCUGCAAUCAAUGCCCAGAGUGUUGCCCAAAUUUUAAAAGUUUGUGAUCAAUACCUAAAUUUCAUCUCAUUGGAAGAUGAUUUAUUUAUCCUGAGAAACCAGAAUAGUGACAUGAUAUCCUACUACUCUAUGAACAAGGGAGAAAUCACAGAUACAGAAAUGAACAAUAUUUUGGAUGGAAUUGUAGAUAGUUUAUUCUCCCUAUUUGCGACGUUGGGUACUGUUCCAGUGAUUCGAAGUCCUAAAGGAAAUGCAGCAGAGAUGGUAGCUGAAAAACUAGAUAAAAAGCUGAGAGAGAGUUUAAGAGAUACUCGAAGUGGGCUUUUUACCUCUGACUUGACACAGAGUUUUGGAUUUCAAAGGCCUUUACUGGUUCUUCUCGAUCGCAACUUGGAUAUGGCUACACCUCUUCAUCAUACGUGGACUUAUCAAGCCCUUGUCCAUGAUGUUUUGGACUUCACGUUAAAUCGUGUAGUCGUACAGGAAGCAGAGAAUGAUACUAACCAUCAGCAGGAUGGCCAUCGGCAUUCUCAUCCUCACAAAGCGAAAAUAAAAACGUGUGAUUUGAACCCAUCAGACAAAUUUUGGGUCUCUUACAGAGGUAGUCCUUUUCCGACUGUGGCCGAAUCCAUUCAAGAAGAACUGGAAGAUUACAAAGCGUCAGAGGGUGAAGUGAAACGACUAAAAGAAUCAAUGGGAUUAGAUCCUGACGGAGAGGCCGCCAUGAGUUUAAUAUCCAAUACAACAGCGAAACUUACUUCAGCAGUGAGCUCUCUGCCCCAGCUUCUGGAGAGAAAGCGACUGCUAGAUAUGCAUACCACCAUAGCAACAGCUAUCCUGGAGCAAAUUAAGCAGCGGAAAUUGGAUCUAUUGCUCGAAGUGGAGGAAAAGGUCAUGAGCAAAAACGCCUUAGACCGAUCGGUUUUGGACAUUAUAAGUGACCCUGAAUGUGGAACUCCAGACGAUAAACUUAGGCUCUUCCUAGUCUAUUUCAUUUGUUCACCAAACAUGACUGAGUCCGAGACUGACCAGUAUGCUGCCGCCCUUCAGGCUGCUGGAUGCAAUUUAGCAGCUUUGCGCUAUUUAAAACGUUGGAAGUCUUGCAGCAAGAUAGUGUCUGGUUCAAGCCAAUACUCAGGAGGCGGGACCAGAACAGUGAACAUGUUUACCAAACUCAUGUCUCAGGGCUCAAAUUUUGUCAUGGAGGGUGUUAAGAACCUAGUUGUCAAGAAACAUAAUUUACCUGUAACACGAAUUGUCGACAAUUUAAUGGAACUUAAGCCUUCACCAGAAACGGACGAGUAUCGUUAUUUCGAUCCAAAGCUAUUGAAACCUGGUGAAGGCGUUAGUCCUGCUCCUAUUAAAAGCCGAGCCCAAUUCCAAGAUGCUAUUGUAUUUAUGGUCGGCGGAGGAACCUACGCCGAAUACCAAAAUUUGGUCGACUAUGCUAAAUCCAAAACGGUGGGUGGCAACGCCAAGAAAAUUGUUUAUGGAUGUUCUACUCUUAACAACGGGAAUCAAUUUCUUAAGCAGUUGGCAAUGUUGGGUGAAGAUAUCCAGUAAAUGGAAACGUUUUCGAAAAAUUUUCUCUCUUGAUUGGUUUGAAAGAAAUUAAAUAAAAAAUGACAGCAUUCAUAAAGAAUGAGACCAAACAAAGAGUAUUCUCAAAGUUUGAUUGAAGCGUUGACCAGCUGUCCUUAAGCACUCCCGAUAAGUUUUCUGCCCGUUUACACAACUCAUGCUCUUCGCUCAAAGAACUAGCAUGAACCUUUAAAAAAAGCCCUAAAUAGGCUUGAACGACUUCAUAAUUACGCUUAGAUUCCAGUACGACAGAGAUGGAAGUUAAGAACUGGGACAACAGAUGGGUUGAUCCUCCCAGAUGAGGACUGAGGGAACGAAUUUCGGUAUCGAUGGCUGAGGGUCCCAUUGUUUUGAGCUCUUCUAUGACACCUGCAUCUACUCGAUAAAAGAAAUAUCGUUAAGUUUGCCGGCCCACGGAGUUAAGGGUAUUGCGAAUGGGGUGCUGGACGAUUCCAAAAUGCGAGAAACGGAUUCUUUCUGGCUGUCUGCUAUCGCUUCAAGGCUAUUGGUGUUUGUGAGGAAAAAAGGAGCAAGUUUCUGCACCUUUGGUGGCUCUUUAGGCCUGUUGCGUCGCUAGAAUGCAAGAAAAGGGACGUUAGCGAUUUUUUAUUUAAUGCAUAUGAAUUUAUUCAAAUAACUUACUUUGACAGCAUCAAGAUUCAGAAGAUUCUUCCAUCUUGAAUCAGGAAGUAAUGAAAGAGUCACAAGAGAGUCGGAAAUUUGUUCCGGAGAUGCAAACUGUUCGUCUUCCUCCAUUGUUUCACUAACUUCGAUUUCGGAACAGCUACUCCUUGCAGUGGAUCCUGGUAAUGGAGCCACUUUAGGUUGGAAAUCUGCUUCCAGUGACCGCAAAGACACUUGCGUAUAUAGUGACUGAUUAUUCCACAAAUAAAUGCCAAGAUCGUCCACGUGUGCUGUAGCAAGAAAACUACCAUUGGCACUAAAGGUAAUGGAAACACAGGACUUCGGAACAAGAAAAUAAUCGAUACACCUGUCAAAGACAAGAUCCAUCAAAUUCUGCUGACUGAAAUUAUUUCAAGAGAAAUCGACACUAACGUUCCAGUAGGCAGAUCCCAGGUUCGAAUACUACAGUCCUGGGCGGACGAUACCACCCAACGAGCAUCCGGACUGAACGCCAAGUCAGUUAACCGCCCAUCAUGUCCAAGAAGCCGGCGAACAAUUUUGCCCGUCUCUACUUCCACGAUGGCAAUUGAAAAAUCUUCCAUUGCGAUAGCCAGAAGCCCACUGCACCAAAAAAUUAUUAAACCAAAUUCCACGUAAAGCAAUCAUCCUUCAGUCCUUUACCUGUGUCUAUUAAUUUCAGUAAAGCUAGGAGCCACCUCGAGGUUUGUUUCUCUCACAAUUUCUCCAGACUUGAAGUUCCACGUGUUUAACUGACCAUUAGCAAAAACUCCCAAAACUACCUGCACGACGCAAGAAUUUCCCCUACUGUAAUUAUUGGAAUAAAAUACACUUUUAAAAAUUGAA
RNAcentral lists this unclassified non-coding RNA (3560 nucleotides) under Daphnia magna. RNAcentral describes it as "sec1 family domain-containing protein 1, transcript variant X2". The record is from RNAcentral. Lineage: Eukaryota; Metazoa; Arthropoda; Branchiopoda; Diplostraca; Daphniidae.